UGAUGCCACAUCUUGGGAUGGAACAC
This 26-nucleotide non-coding RNA is filed under the name Homo sapiens (human). The record is from RNAcentral. Lineage: Eukaryota; Metazoa; Chordata; Mammalia; Primates; Hominidae.